UACGUAGGGCGCGAGCGUUGUCCGGAAUUAUUGGGCGUAAAGAGCUCGUAGGCGGUUUGUCGCGUCUGCUGUGAAAACUGGAGGCUCAACCUCCAGCCUGCAGUGGGUACGGGCAGACUAGAGUGCGGUAGGGGAGAUUGGAAUUCCUGGUGUAGCGGUGGAAUGCGCAGAUAUCAGGAGGAACACCGAUGGCGAAGGCAGAUCUCUGGGCCGUAACUGACGCUGAGGAGCGAAAGCAUGGGGAGCGAACAGG
Molecule: ribosomal RNA, 253 nt
Filed under: uncultured bacterium
Lineage: Bacteria
Description: partial 16S ribosomal RNA
Rfam family: Bacterial small subunit ribosomal RNA
Source: RNAcentral